UAUGAAGCAGUUUGAAGAAAAUGUAUGUUUGUGGUGCGUAAGAUGUGGGGGGGGGCCACCUUCAUAA
RNAcentral lists this transfer RNA (67 nucleotides) under Pyura gangelion. RNAcentral describes it as "transfer RNA-His". Lineage: Eukaryota; Metazoa; Chordata; Ascidiacea; Stolidobranchia; Pyuridae. The record is from RNAcentral.